This 109-nucleotide small nuclear RNA is filed under the name Dasypus novemcinctus (nine-banded armadillo). The record is from RNAcentral. Lineage: Eukaryota; Metazoa; Chordata; Mammalia; Cingulata; Dasypodidae.
GUGCUCACUUCGGCAGCACAUAUACUAAAAAAUUGGAACAAUACUGAGAAGAUUAGCAUGGCCCUUGUGCAAGGAUGACAAACAAAUUCAUGAAGCAUUCCAUAAAAAA